CCUUGUACACACCGCCCGUCACACCAUGGGAGUGGGUCGCAAAAGAAGUAGGUAGCUUAACCUCCGGGAGGGCGCUUACCACUUUGUGAUUCAUGACUGGGGUG
This 104-nucleotide ribosomal RNA is filed under the name uncultured bacterium. RNAcentral describes it as "partial 16S ribosomal RNA". It matches the Rfam family "Bacterial small subunit ribosomal RNA", at positions 1379 to 1482 of the family's 1533-position model. The record is from RNAcentral.